UUGAAAGGGAAACGAUUGAAGUCAGUCGUACUGAUAGGAAAUCAACUUCUCGAGUGCUUGUCGUGGAUGACGUUGAGCUUCACGGCCUUCGUUGCUUACGUUAUGGUGCUUUUGAGGUGUACUUUCCGUAUGGUAGGUCAACAUCGAUUUUGAUCGUCAUAAAAUGAUCGGAGGAAUGUGGCUCUGAUCUCGUAUCGGAGUGUUAUAGCCUUUGGUAGAUGUGAUGUUUGGGGUCGAGGAUUGCAACGGAUACCCUCUGGGGCUAGCCGCCUGAUCUCUAAUCGGUGUUGGGUUACGGAUAGCAUGCNNNNNNUNNNCNAAUUACUGGUUAAAAGGUUAGAGCGUGCAUAAAUUCGUUAAGGAUGUUGACGUA
Molecule: ribosomal RNA, 373 nt
Filed under: uncultured Glomeromycotina
Lineage: Eukaryota; Fungi; Glomeromycota
Description: partial large subunit ribosomal RNA
Source: RNAcentral